This 332-nucleotide ribosomal RNA is filed under the name Chaetoceros affinis. RNAcentral describes it as "partial Bacterial large subunit ribosomal RNA". It matches the Rfam family "Bacterial large subunit ribosomal RNA", at positions 788 to 1118 of the family's 2925-position model. Lineage: Eukaryota; Bacillariophyta; Thalassiosirophyceae; Chaetocerotales; Chaetocerotaceae. The record is from RNAcentral.
UUUGAAAAGCCAGGGGAUGACUUGUGCAUAGGGGUGAAAGGCUAAUCAAACUCGGUGAUAGCUGGUUCUCCUCGAAAGCUAUUUAGGUAGCGCCUCGGACGAAUACCAUUGGGGGUAGAGCACUGUUUCGGCUAGGGGGUCAUCCCGACUUACCAAACCGAUGCAAACUCCGAAUACCAAUGAGUACUAUCCGGGAGACAGACUGCGGGUGCUAACGUCCGUAGUCAAGAGGAAAACAAUCCAGACCGCCAGCUAAGGCCCCAAAAUUAUAGUUAAGUGGGAAACGAUGUGGGAAGGCUCAGACAGCUAGGAGGUUGGCUUAGAAGCAGCCA